AACGUCCGGAAACGGGCGCUAAUACCGCAUACGUCCUGAGGGAGAAAGUGGGGGAUCUUCGGACCUCACGCUAUCAGAUGAGCCUAGGUCGGAUUAGCUAGUUGGUGGGGUAAAGGCCUACCAAGGCGACGAUCCGUAACUGGUCUGAGAGGAUGAUCAGUCACACUGGAACUGAGACACGGUCCAGACUCCUACGGGAGGCAGCAGUGGGGAAUAUUGGACAAUGGGCGAAAGCCUGAUCCAGCCAUGCCGCGUGUGUGAAGAAGGUCUUCGGAUUGUAAAGCACUUUAAGUUGGGAGGAAGGGCAGUAAGUUAAUACCUUGCUGUUUUGACGUUACCAACAGAAUAAGCGCCGGCUAACUUCGUGCCAACAUCCGCGGUAAUACAAAGGGUGCAAGCGUUAAUCGGAAUUACUGGGCGUAAACCGCGCGCACGUGGUUCAGCGCGUUCCCUGUGAAAUCCCCUGGCUCUACCUGGGAGCUGCGUCCCUCACUACUGAGCUAAAUUACCGUGUAAGGUGGCGCCACAAAUAUCUGAGGGAUCCCAACGG
This 550-nucleotide ribosomal RNA is filed under the name Metapseudomonas otitidis. RNAcentral describes it as "bacterial SSU rRNA". It matches the Rfam family "Bacterial small subunit ribosomal RNA", at positions 145 to 694 of the family's 1533-position model. The record is from RNAcentral. Lineage: Bacteria; Pseudomonadati; Pseudomonadota; Gammaproteobacteria; Pseudomonadales; Pseudomonadaceae.